CAGUCGCCGCGGUAAUACGAAGGGUGCAAGCGUUACUCGGAAUUACCGGGCGUAAAGCGUGUGUAGGUGGUUGUUUAAGUCUGCCGUGAAAGCCCUGGGCUCAACCUGGGAAUUGCGAUGGAUACUGGGCGACUAGAGUGCGGUAGAGGAUAGUGGAAUUUCCGGUGUAGCAGUGAAAUGCGUAGAGAUCGGAAGGAACAUCUGUGGCGAAGGCGACUAUCUGGGCCAACACUGACACUGUGGCACGAAAGCGUGGGAGCAAACAGGAUUAGAUACCCGUGUAGUCCCUGUCUCUUAUACA
Molecule: ribosomal RNA, 301 nt
Filed under: uncultured bacterium
Lineage: Bacteria
Description: partial 16S ribosomal RNA
Rfam family: Bacterial small subunit ribosomal RNA
Source: RNAcentral